RNAcentral lists this long non-coding RNA (1033 nucleotides) under Lactuca sativa (garden lettuce). RNAcentral's name for it is "long non-coding RNA (LSAT_LNC002203)". The record is from RNAcentral. Lineage: Eukaryota; Viridiplantae; Streptophyta; Magnoliopsida; Asterales; Asteraceae.
UAAUUUCCCCCAGAAAAUCCCCUUUUUCCUGGUCCCGUUUUUCAAAUUCUGAGACUAGGUUACGAUGAUGUAUGCUACGGAGCACCAAAAUCAACCAUAGAUAAUGUCAUCCCCAUCGUUGUUGCUACUCCCGGCCUCCGGAAUCAAGAACCGCCAACACCUUCACCUUGCUCCCAUUUCCAUUGAAGGUUCUGCUACUUAUGUCUAUCGACAAGGGCUUAGGUUGUCUGAGGAAGAAGACGCUGACAGGCAGAAUUGUUAGGACGAGACUUGAAGGGACUACAACACAUUCGACAUCUUGUUCAUUUACAACUUCCAAUAAGGUUGAUUCAGGUAUUUUUCUUUAAACCAUCUUUAUUGACGAUUUUGUAAUGGGUAUUGAAUUGGUCUAUCUUUACAGAAAGUUAUGUAAUUAGUAACUGCAAACCUUGUAUUUUGGAAGGUUGGAUUGUUGGGUAUGGCCGUAUGGGUAGAUGACUACAAAUGCAUCUCUAUCGGAUUUCUAAGGUAACUAUUACAUCCAACCCUGAGGAAUUGAGAUAUGUAUUACAAUUUAAUGAAUGAUGCUUAGACUUUAGAUGAUAUAUACAUUUUGGAUAUAUGAACCAUUAUAAACUGAUAUUCAUCCAUGAUUUCAACUUGAAUAAGUACCAUCACCCUUUUGCUGCCAGUUUUACUGGUAUGGAUUAAUUAUUGAUCUUCCUUUAAUUUGUUCUUUUUCAUCCUUGAAAAGGUUUAGGUUCUGAGUACAUUGCGAUUUUUACAGGCUCUUGUGAAAGAACUGGGGUUGUUAAUUUGUGACAAAUACCCUUCCUGGUUUUGGAGAGAGUGAUCAGACACUAAAGCAACUGUGAAGUGUUUGACAUGGUAUCCAAGAGCUUGUUGAUCAUUUGAACAUGGGACCAAAGUUCUAUGUAGCUGCAUACUCUAUGGGUGGUAAAGCCAUCCGGUCUUGUCUUAAGUACAUCCUUUACAGUUUUCAUUAAAAUUUUGUAACUUUUAAAGGAUCAUAAUCACAUUAUUUUUGUAAAAC